RNAcentral lists this small RNA (30 nucleotides) under Bombyx mori (domestic silkworm). RNAcentral describes it as "ovarian small RNA-36821". Lineage: Eukaryota; Metazoa; Arthropoda; Insecta; Lepidoptera; Bombycidae. The record is from RNAcentral.
UUAUCGCGACCGCUGUGACAUCCGGUGCAC